GGAUGUGAGGGGCAAUCUGGCUGCAACAUCUGUCACCCCAUUGAUCGCCAGGGUUGAUUUGGCUGAUCUGGCUGUGUAGGUGGGUGUCCCCUUCCCCCCUCCUGAAGCUGUGCUCUUGGUAGAUAGAGGAGGACCAUUUCCUCCAUCAAGGGUAUAGGAGUAGCUGCGCUCCCCUGCCAGAACCUCCAAACAAGCUCUCUAGAUGUGUUAGAGCAUGGGCCGGGGAUUUAGCUCAGUAGUGCUGC
This 245-nucleotide small nuclear RNA is filed under the name Heterocephalus glaber (naked mole-rat). Its description in RNAcentral is "7SK RNA". It matches the Rfam family "7SK RNA". Rfam says of the family: 7SK was discovered as an abundant small nuclear RNA in the mid-70s but a possible function has only recently been suggested. The record is from Rfam by way of RNAcentral. Lineage: Eukaryota; Metazoa; Chordata; Mammalia; Rodentia; Bathyergidae.